CCAGGAAAUAUCACUCCAAAGUCCAUUUCUGGUCUGGCAGCCCAUCUAGAAUCUGAGAGCCAGAGAGGAGAGAACUUGGCUUUCUUCAAAAGGUGAAGGCAGGGUGACAGGGGUGAGCUCCAAUACCUUGAGAAGAUGGUGGCAAGAGAGGUACCCAUGAGAGCCAUCACCCUGACAGCGGCUCAUGUGUCUCUGAGUUUACUGGCCACAGGAUCUGCAGUGUGGCCCACUGCAUUAGUGGUGCUUGCCGGGAUCGCCUUCUACUUCUGGAC
Camelus dromedarius (Arabian camel) is the source of this 272-nucleotide long non-coding RNA. RefSeq lists it as uncharacterized. The record is from RefSeq and is a predicted model, not a curated record. NCBI's taxonomy places the organism in Eukaryota, Metazoa, Chordata, Mammalia, Artiodactyla, Camelidae. The transcript is spliced from 3 exons.